This 480-nucleotide ribosomal RNA is filed under the name uncultured bacterium. RNAcentral's name for it is "bacterial SSU rRNA". It matches the Rfam family "Bacterial small subunit ribosomal RNA", at positions 55 to 518 of the family's 1533-position model. The record is from RNAcentral.
AUGCAAGUCGAACGCGAAAGGGCUUCGGCUCCGAGUAGAGUGGCGCACGGGUGAGUAACGCGUGGAUGAUCUGCCCUGAUGUUGGGAAUAACAGUUGGAAACGGCUGCUAAUACCGAAUACGCUCCCCUUUCACCAUGGGAGGAAAGACGGCCUCUGCUUGCAAGCUGUCGCAUGAGGAUGAGUCCGCGUCCCAUUAGCUAGUUGGUGAGGUAACGGCCCACCAAGGCGACGAUGGGUAGCCGAUUUGAGAGGAUGAUCGGCCACACUGGAACUGAAACACGGUCCAGACUCCUACGGGAGGCAGCAGUGGGGAAUAUUGCGCAAUGGGCGAAAGCCUGACGCAGCGACGCCGCGUGAGGGAUGAAGGUCCUUCGGAUCGUAAACCUCUGUCAGAAGGGAAGAAAGCAGCGGGUGCCAAUCAGCCUGCUGUUGACGGUACCUUCAAAGGAAGCACCGGCUAACUCCGUGCCAGCAGCUGC